UCUAAAACUUGAGAUAUGAGCUGAACACUGAAUAGUGUGUGGGCUGCAGGACAGAUUUCGACUUCACUGUUGUUGCUACAAUUUGAACUUGAAAACGGUCCUUUUGAAUCUUGGACUCUUCAUGAAAGUUUUAGGCCUAUGUCUUAGAUUUCUAUC
Populus trichocarpa (black cottonwood) is the source of this 156-nucleotide non-coding RNA. The record is from Rfam. NCBI's taxonomy places the organism in Eukaryota, Viridiplantae, Streptophyta, Magnoliopsida, Malpighiales, Salicaceae.